RNAcentral lists this ribosomal RNA (429 nucleotides) under Acidobacteriota bacterium. RNAcentral describes it as "Acidobacteria bacterium partial 16S ribosomal RNA". It matches the Rfam family "Bacterial small subunit ribosomal RNA", at positions 355 to 776 of the family's 1533-position model. The record is from RNAcentral. Lineage: Bacteria; Pseudomonadati; Acidobacteriota.
UGGGGAAUUUUGGACAAUGGGGGAAACCCUGAUCCAGCCAUCCCGCGUGUGCGAUGAAGGCCCUCGGGUUGUAAAGCACUUUUGGCAGGAAAGAAACGUCAUGGGUUAAUACCCCGUGAAACUGACGGUACCUGCAGAAUAAGCACCGGCUAACUACGUGCCAGCAGCCGCGGUAAUACGUAGGGUGCAAGCGUUAAUCGGAAUUACUGGGCGUAAAGCGUGCGCAGGCGGUUCGGAAAGAAAGAUGUGAAAUCCCAGAGCUCAACUUUGGAACUGCAUUUUUAACUAACGGGCUAGAGUGUGUCAGAGAAAGGUGGAAUUCCGAGUGUAGCAGUGAAAUGCGUAGUUAUGCGGAGGAACACCGAUGGCGAAGGCAGCCUCCUGGGAUAACACUGACGCUCAUGCACGAAAGCGUGGGGAGCAAACAGG